Molecule: transfer RNA, 67 nt
Filed under: Clovia sp. EMHAU-2015-Zz052918
Lineage: Eukaryota; Metazoa; Arthropoda; Insecta; Hemiptera; Aphrophoridae
Description: tRNA-Ser
Source: RNAcentral
AGUUAAUUAGCUAUUAUAAGUUUAUAUUUUGAAAGUAUAAGAAAGAAUAAAUGUAUUCUAUUAACUU